UCUGGUGGCGAUGGCGAGAAGGUCACACCCGUUCCCAUACCGAACACGGAAGUUAAGCUUCUCAGCGCCGAUGGUAGUUAGGGGCUGUCCC
RNAcentral lists this ribosomal RNA (91 nucleotides) under Bacillus sp. NTK034. Lineage: Bacteria; Bacillati; Bacillota; Bacilli; Caryophanales; Bacillaceae. The record is from RNAcentral.